UCGAGUUUUUGCUACACACACACACACCCUGUGCACCCGUAGUAGGUCCUCGAAAGAGGAUCUAUGUAUAUCUUUAUGAUCACACCCCAUCGUAUGUCUAUAGAAUGGUGAUAUAUAAUAUGAUA
RNAcentral lists this unclassified non-coding RNA (125 nucleotides) under uncultured Boletus. RNAcentral describes it as "sequence contains ITS1". Lineage: Eukaryota; Fungi; Basidiomycota; Agaricomycetes; Boletales; Boletaceae. The record is from RNAcentral.